Molecule: unclassified non-coding RNA, 191 nt
Filed under: Acaulospora lacunosa
Lineage: Eukaryota; Fungi; Glomeromycota; Glomeromycetes; Diversisporales; Acaulosporaceae
Description: partial contains 5.8S ribosomal RNA and internal transcribed spacer 2
Rfam family: 5.8S ribosomal RNA (bases 1-71)
Source: RNAcentral
GUGAAUCAUCGAAUCUUUGAACGCAUAUUGCACUCUCUGGUAUUCCGGGGAGUAUGCUUGCUUGAGGGUUAGUUUGUUACAAUCGUAAAAAGAAAUUUUUACGGAUCUGGAUUUUCCAAAAGUUAUAUUUUUGUAAAUUUAAAAUUAACCAAACCAAUAGUGAUAAUUGAAAAUGUUUUUUUUUAAUUAAU